UGUUUUUGCUUUUUGCCUAGGUUGACUCAAUGAGAGCAUGCUCCUCUUCAUGGUCCAUGGAUUAACUAAUUUUCAAAUUUUCUCCAAAAUUGUGGGGGUGGGCAAGAGAGAGAGGUAUGAGCAACAACUCCUUCAAUCCUAGGUGCAUGAACACAGGAACGUUGGGGAUGUGGAAUCAUGUUGAUUUAUGAAUCUCCCUUGCUUUGAGUAAUUGGGUCAUGCACGUGGAUCCAGCGGUGCCUUGCUUCUCCUUUCGUUUUUUCUUCUCUUAUAGUCCUUUUUUUUGCUUAUUCAGGAAGCUUGCGCCGUUGCUUCUCGCCUCUCCUCACUCAAAUUGUUCUCUCGCAGGUGAUUGAGGAUGGUUACCUGUACUUAUAUCAGUGGGCUUUGACAAACUUUUUUGUUCUGUACUGUAUUACUGAUUUGCUUUUUACAGGGUUUAGUAGCAAUUGUCGAGCAUCAGCGGCUCUUGGUUUGGGAUAGUUUGUGAGCUCUCUUUGCAAGACUCUAUUCAUGGUUUCCCAUUGUUUUCUUAUUUUUUUUCUUUAUGGGUUGUCUGUCUUGAUAUUGAAGGGGAAUUUUUGUGUCUCGUGUUGAUGGUCACUGCAGAAAAAAUGAGAGGAAGACCUAUCUGAGAUGCAAGUUCCUUCUCAGGUUUCCAAAUACCUUCCCAAAUAAUCAAAUCGGUGACAGGGCAGGUAAGCAUGCAGGAAGAAGCAAGUAGAUUAGGUCGGUCAUCUCCAAAACAUUAUUUAAAGUUUAAACAAUUGAAUGCCAGAGGCAAGGAAGGGCCAAGCAGAGCCUAACAUUGAUUAAAGAAUUUUGGGUUUCUUUCCGUAUUAAGGUUUUCCACCCGAAUAUUAACAGCAAUUGCAGCAUUUGUCUUGGCAUUCUCAAGGAGCUGUGGGGCCGUGCCCAAACAGUUUCCGAGGUUUAAUGCUAUCAUUUGGCUCCUUUGAGGGAAUGCACUCAUGUAAAAAGUAAGUGUUAAAACGUAGUCUUUCUUAACAUAUGGGAGCUAUCUCAGAUAGUUUGCAUCUUUUACAUGUUUCUGUCAUUCUUUAACUCAGUCAUAAGUCUUUAACUUCGCCAUCUGUUAUGAAGAUGUACGUCAUUACUUCAUUUUUUUUAUCGUCACAUGUCUCUCCUUCCUUAUUGUAUCAUACUCAAUCGAAGCACAACAUUUGAGUACAGAACCAAAUCCAGAUGAUCCUGUGGUUCGACAUUACGCAGAUAUCGAAUGUCGUCUGUGACAUUUUGAUGGGAUUUCCUUUGAACCUUACUGAUGUUCUGAUUCAAAUAUAUGUAACAAAAAUGCACAACUAAAUCGUUCUCUUGCAGAUUGUUGGUUUGGAAGAAGAAAACCUCAUUUUAUUUCAUGAAAAAAAUAAGGUA
Molecule: long non-coding RNA, 1395 nt
Organism: Tripterygium wilfordii
Lineage: Eukaryota; Viridiplantae; Streptophyta; Magnoliopsida; Celastrales; Celastraceae
Exons: 4
Source: RefSeq, a predicted model, not a curated record